RNAcentral lists this transfer RNA (61 nucleotides) under Dialister pneumosintes. It matches the Rfam family "tRNA", at positions 6 to 65 of the family's 71-position model. Rfam says of the family: Transfer RNA (tRNA) molecules are approximately 80 nucleotides in length. Their secondary structure includes four short double-helical elements and three loops (D, anti-codon, and T loops). RNAcentral also lists the same sequence under 1 other name. Lineage: Bacteria; Bacillati; Bacillota; Negativicutes; Veillonellales; Veillonellaceae. The record is from RNAcentral.
AAUAGCUCAGUGGUAGAGCAAUCGGCUGUUAACCGAUCGGUCGUAGGUUCGAGCCCUACUU